Molecule: ribosomal RNA, 124 nt
Filed under: uncultured bacterium
Lineage: Bacteria
Description: partial 16S small subunit ribosomal RNA
Rfam family: Bacterial small subunit ribosomal RNA
Source: RNAcentral
ACUCCUACGGGAGGCAGCAGUGGGGAAUUUUGCGCAAUGGGGGAAACCCUGAAGCAGCAACGCCGCGUGACAGGAUGAAAUACCUUUGGGGUGUAAACUUCUUUUGAUCUGUGACGAUUAUGAC